AGGAGGAAUAGCCCCAGUGGCGGGGCAGCUCUGGAAACCUGGAUUCAGCUCCGGCAGGAACUCCGUCUGCAGGGCCUGGAGGCUCCGGGGCGGG
This 94-nucleotide microRNA precursor is filed under the name Canis lupus familiaris (dog). Its description in RNAcentral is "mir-8834 microRNA precursor family". It matches the Rfam family "mir-8834 microRNA precursor family". Lineage: Eukaryota; Metazoa; Chordata; Mammalia; Carnivora; Canidae. RNAcentral also lists the same sequence under 1 other name. The record is from Rfam by way of RNAcentral.